Molecule: non-coding RNA, 567 nt
Organism: Meleagris gallopavo (turkey)
Lineage: Eukaryota; Metazoa; Chordata; Aves; Galliformes; Phasianidae
Source: RefSeq, a predicted model, not a curated record
ACAACAGUGCCAGAGAUGUUCACAGCCACUCCGGGACAGCGGAGGGCCUCCUGUCUCCCAGCACUGCUCCUGGGAAAGCUCUGCCUGAGGCACACAAGAGUGAGGAAAAAGGCAGCUUGGUUCCAGCCAGGGAUGGAAAUUAUUCUGGCAAGGUGUUCAUGAACCAGAAGGUGAAAACCUGUUGGUAUCAGCAGGAGAAAGAGACUAAAGAGGCAGAUGGUGUCAGUUAAGCAAGCUGGGAUCACAAGGCUGCUUCUUUCUGAAUGAUUAUCAGCUGAUGGAAGUGGCUGAUUGUGGCUGCUAAGGGGAGUGUGGUGACCAGCCCAGGGGGACCAACGGGAUGGGGAUGCUGCAGAGGCUUCAGCUGACAUUGGGAACCAUGGGACAGACUCCUUUGUUGAGUGGGUUUCCAAUGUGAACUGGUGUGUUUGUGGUGAUGGAUGUCACACAGACAUUUUCCAUCUGAUGUGACAAAAAACUACCCUGCUUUCUCCCUGCCUCACCGACACAGAAAGUCACCCAGACAUACAUGUCCACUCUUAAAAUACAGAUGGGUCAUACAAAACA